GGAGUUGAGCGGCGCGACGGUCCUGCAGCAGCUAGCCUGGGAUGUACCCACAGCUCACCGGGGAGUCCGGGCCACACGUCAGCUGGAUCUUGAAUGAGAUGAAGACGGGGAGAAAGGGCCUUCCGGACAAAGGGCUUACGCCCUGGAUAAAGGGCGUGGAGGGGCGUGGCACGUUCAGUCUGGACACAGCAUAAAGUGCAUUGGAGAGAGGCGGGAGACAGGAUGGAAAGGAGGGUGGGAAGAGCUAUGAAGCUCCCCAGGGCCUUGCUAACGCGUUUGGACUUUAUCCCGCGCCAGACUUUUUAAAGGUGGUAAGUAGUUUACAGAUGUGCGUUUUGAGGCCAGCACAUUUUGUUGUUGUCGUUUGUUUGUUUGUUUUUCUUUGAGACGGGGUCUCACUCCCAGGCUGGAGUGCAAUAACGUGAUCUCAGCUCACUGCAACCUCCGCCUCCCAGGUUCAAGCGAUUCCCCUGCCUCAACCUGUCGAAUAGCUGGGGCUACAGGCGCCCACCACCACGCCUGGCUAAUUUUUGUAUUUUUAGUGGAGACGGGGUUUCACCACGUUGGCCAGGCUGGUCUCGAACUCCUGACUUCAGGUGAUCCUCCCGCCAAGGCCUCCCAAAAUCCUGGGAUUACGGCCAUCGUGCCGGGCCAGCAGCACAGCGUCUUAAGCAAUUUUGGAUAUGAAUACCUUCGAGACGAGCUUGCGCUCCCACAGACCCCACCACUCCUACAGUCUGUAAUUACCCCCAGCUGCACCCAUAUGCGUAGCUUCCCUGGUCCAGAGGGACGUGCGUGUGUGACCCUGCAGGAUAGUGGGGUGGCCCUGCAUGGCAUGGCUGCCAGUGCUAAGAGGGGUGUGCCGCCAGCCUCUGAUCCCUCUCACCGGCGGGCCCCCCAUCAUCAUCACUAUAUGAUGACCUGAGGCGUCCAGGCUCCCGAGGAAAGCCUGCCGCCCUGGUUCCUACAAGGGACGCCUAAACACAGAGUCCUAAACACAGAGUCCUAAACACAUGCAGGGUUGGAGGGAGACUGACGAACUCAACUACCAGCCUGCAGUCGGCAGCCAUCAGCGGAUUGCAGGUACCCCGCGUGCGUGUCUCGGCUACAGUGCGGAAGACAAGAGGCCUUAGGAAGUGGGAACGGGCGCCAUCUGGUGGUCAUCUCUGGAGUGACAGCAGAGAACUGGAACAUAUUUUAUAUUUUGUUUCCACUGCUCCAUGACUUGACUAAAGCAGAAACAAUUCGGAGAGUACUGUAGUAUUAAAUACCUAAGGGCCACACCAGGCCAGAAAGCAACAAAAAAGAAAUGCUAAAAAGAAGUUCUUCAGAGAGGGAUCCAAGAAGGAAUAAGUGAAGGGCGGUGCUCCAGGUGUGAAUGGAGACGACUUCGAGCUCACUGUGCUGAGAAACUGCUUUUCAGAGGGCUUCUACAGAGCCCACAGCUCAUCUUCUAGAAGUCAUCUAUAGCUACUGUCAGUUUCUAGGCUUCCAAGGACACCCUUCAGCCUACUGCAAUGCAGCUUCUUACCCUACUCCUCCAUGGACAGAUGACAUCCAUUUCUGAAAUCCAGGGGCCACACUUCAAUCUAUCUCAUGAGGUAUCUCUGCUUGGUGGACACCGAUGUUCUCCCUUCCUGAAGACUCUGCUUCUCUGACUUCUGUGAGCAUAGCCUCUUCUGGUCACUCGUUCUCUGGCAUAGACUUCUUCUCUGUGGGCUGGCAGCGAACAGUGGGGCCUUCAGCAUCAUUAUUGCUCAGGUCAGUACAAAGGACCACAUAAGGGAGUAUGAUAGUGAGGAGCCAAGAUCACUCCACAUCUCGAGAAGAGAUGAUAGCAGCCUGGAAUGGUUUGGUGGCCAUGGGAAUAAAGAGAAAGGGACUGAUUUGACAGAUGUUUAAUGGGUAAACAUCACAGGAUUUGGCAAUUGGCUAUGGAAGAUAAAUGGGAGGAAGGAGUCUAGGAUGACUGUUGUGUUUCAUCUUGUUGGGGGGUGACUUGACUAGGCUGAUGACUUUGCUCAAUCCAAUAGGGGAUACAAAAACAGCAAAGACAUGAAAGAGAAGAUGAUGAUAGUGGUAUCCCAGAAAAUGAGAGGGUAACCAACAGCACCAAAAGUCAGGCAAUCAGAUAAACCAGUUUCUAAGCUGAGGAAGGGGAGUGACAAUUCUUUCAAGAAGAUUGUCCACAGAGAGAAACAAUAGGGUAAUAACCAGGAGUGCAGGGUUGAAGGGGCGUUUUUUGGCUGAGGGCAACGGACCAGUAGAGGCUGAGCAGCUGAAAGUACAGGUGCCAAGGGGGUGGCUGAAGGAGUAAGAUCCCAUUGAUGGGAUGAAGUGGGAUCAUAACAGAUGACAGGUUGAACAGAAAGGCUAUCUCCAUGCAUGAGGCAGCAGGAUGCAGAUGUACACACUCCCUUGGAGGCUCACAGUGGGAAGUGAAAGUUCCUGCAUUUUGAACUUUCCUCCCUCUGUGAAUUAGGAGGUGAGGUUAUCUAUUAGGCACGUGGGUGAGUAAGCAGUUGGAACCAAGUGGUGAAUGUUUAUAGAAGAGGGUUCUGACCAAAGACAAAGAUUGCUCAAUGGCACUGAGGUCCAACCGCAGUUGAAUGCCCUAGAUUCAUAACAGCCACAAUCUGUACACUUCUAUCAUUUUUAGUUGUUAUAUUCUACACCCCAAGCAGAUACACACAGGGAUAAACUGAGUCAGGCAAUUCAGGCUUGGAAGCUUGCAAAGCUGGUAGAGUUUGAGGAUGAGGGGUUUAAGGAGCUGAGGGCAUGAAUGAGAAGUCUGAGUUGACCACAGGGCACCAGUUGCAUAAGGUAGAGAAUGGGGUUAAAAAGGGAAAAACAAAAGAAAAAACCGGCUGGGCGUGGUGGCUUACACCUGUAAUCCCAGCAUUUUGAGAGGCCGAGGCGGAUGGAUCACUUGAGGUGGGGAGUUCAAGACCAGCCUGGCCAACAUGGUGAAACCCUGCCUCUACUAAAAACAUAAAAAUUAGCCGGGCGUGGUGGCAGGCGCCUGUAUUCCCAGCUACUCGGGAGGCUGAAGCAGGAGAAUCACUUGAACCCAGGAGGCGGAGGUUGCAGUGAGCUGAGAUCAGGCCACUGCACUCCAGCCUGGGCAACAGAGUAAGACUCUGUCUCAGAAAAACAAACAAAAACCAUAACAGCAAGUGCAAACAUCAAGGAUUAGGCCAGGCGUGGUGGCUCAUACCUAUUAAUUCCAGCACUUUGGGAGGCUGAGGUGGAAGAAUCACUUAAAGCCAGGAGUUCAAGACUGGCCUAGGUAACAAAGCGAGACCCUUGUCUCUACAAAAAAUAAGAAAAUUAGCUGGGUGCAGUGGUGCACGCCUGUAGUCCCAGCUACUCAGUGUCCACUGAUAAAUAAAGAUGAUUGCUCGAGCCCAGGAGUUCAAGGUUGCAGUGAACCAUGAUCGCACCACUGCACUCCAGCCUGGGUGACACAGCAAGACGCUGGACAUUAAAAGAAAAAAAAAAAAGGUUUAGUGGUAGAGAGUAAGAAAACUGAAAAAUAGGAAGUUACAAUAAGACAGAUUAUUAGAGUUUCGAGCAUGGUCACAAGAGAGGAAUGGGUGGUUGAAGUGGAAGUGCACACAGAUUUGAAAAAAAUCAAGGCCUUGUAAGGCCAAUUGUAAGGCCAUACUUGAAAACAUUCAGGGUGGCAGAAUUUGGGAUGAAGACUGCAAAGCAGAAUUGAGGCCUCAGUGACUCCUGCAUAGUGACUGUGAGAUUGAUAGAUAACAGAGAACUGGUGAAGUAACCAGAUGGCAUUUGGGCCUUCUGACCCUUUCCAGACUUCAUGGAAGUGGCAGAAAACUGUAGCCAACAUCAGGGCCUCAAAUUGUGGUUCCACCAGUGACUAGCUACAUGGCCUUGGGCAAGUCAAUUUAACCUCUCUGUGCCUCACUUGCCUUAUCAGUAACAUGAAGACAUAAUAGUAUCCUCAAGUAAAGUGCUUACAAUAAGGCCAGCCACAUGUACCAGAGCACUAAAUGUCAGCAUCAUGACCAUUUCUCAUUUGAACAAUGAGGGCUUUGUUAACAGUCUCUAAGGCACAGAUUCUUAAAUAUUUUGGUCUCAGAAUCUUUUUACAUUCUUAAAAAUUGUCGAAGACGCCAAAGAACCUUUUUUUUUCUUUGAGACAGAGUCUCGCUCUGUUGCCCAGACUGGAGUGCAGUGGUGCGACCUCGGCUCACUGCCUUCCAGCGAACCGCCUUCCAGGUUCAAGCAAUUCUCCUGUCUCCUGAGUAGCGGGGAUUACAGGUGUGUGCCACCACACCCGGCUAAUUAUUUUUUGCAUAUUUUGUAGAGAUGGGGAUACACCAUGUUGAUCAGGCUGGUCUUGAACUCCUGCACGUGAUCUGCCCGCCUUGGCCUCCCAAAGUGCUGGGAUUACAGGCAUGAGCUACUGUGCCCAGCCCUAAGAACUUUAAAAAAAAGUAUUAUAUCUGUCAAUAUUUUUCAUAUUAGAAAACUGAGAAAAUAUUUUUAAAAUACAUAGUCGGCUGGGCGUGGUGGCUCACGCCUGUAAUCCUGGCACUCUGGGAAGCAAAGGCGGGUCAGGAGUUUGAGAUCAGCCUGGCUAACACAGCAAAACCCCAUCUCUCCUAAAAAUGCAAAAAACUUAGCCAGGCGUGGUGGCGGGGGCCUGUAAUCUCAGCUACUUGGGAGGCUGAGGCAGAAUUGCUUGAAACCAGGAGGCAGAGGUUACAGUGAGCCGAGAUGGCGCCAUUGUACUCCAGCCUGGGUGGCAGAAUGAGACUGUCUCAAACAAACAAACAAACAAACAAAAACGUAGUCACUUAAAAACAGUAAUAAACCCACUAUCUAGUAACAGAACACAUUUUAAAGAAAAAUAACUUAUUUUUUCCCAAAAAAUGUGGAAGUACGAUAUUGUUUUUCAGAUCUCUUUAAUGUUUGGCUUAAAUGAAGACAGCUGGAUUCUCUUCUUCUGCAUUCAAUCUGUUAGGAUGUGCUGUUUGCUGAAAGCAUGAAAAUCCUAGCACCUCACCUCACCUCUUGGGGACCUUGGACCGCACUUUGAGAACCAUUAGUUUUUCUUUCAGCUCUACAUCAUUCACAGCCGGGCCUGGUGGCUCAUGGCUGUAAUCCCAGGACUUUGGGAGGCUGAGGUGGGUGGAUCACCUGAGGCCAGCAGUUUGAGACCAGCCUGGGCAACAUGGUGAAACCCCGUCUCUACUAAAUAUACAAAAAUUAGCCAGGCGUCAUGGCACCCUCCUGUAGUCCCAGCUACUCAGGAGGCUGAGGCAGGAGAAUCACUUGAACCCGGGAGGCAGAGGUUGCAGUGAGCCGAGAUCGCACCACUGCACUCCUGCCUGUGCGACAGAGAGAGGCUCUGUCUCAAAAAAUAAAUAAAUAAAUAAAUAAAUAAAUAAUUUGUUCAUUCACUCACUCAUUCAACACUACUGGAUCCCAGAGACAAAGAACAAUGUGGUCGCUGCCUUUGAGGAGUCUAGUUGAGAAAAAAGAUGAAAACGAAUUAAAAAUUACAGCACGACAUGAGUGAGCAGAGGAGGAAGUUAGGAAAUUACUGGUUUGCCUAAGGGAGGCAGGGAAGGCUUACAGGAGUACAGGGAACCCGAAUUUUGACUUUACUUUCCUAUGCUCCACCUAAGCAGAAGGAAGAGUAUGCACAAAGGCACAGGGGCAGGAAUUAAUACAGUACAAGGAAGCCCAGGGUGCGCUGGCAGGAAGAGUCCGUAUGCUGGAAAAGCACGUUGGGCCUUAAAGUUACAUUUCAUCCUACAAGCCCCAGGAGGCUGGGGUGAUGAGAGCUUGCUUUUCUUUUUUUUUUGAGAGGGAGUCUCGCUCUGUCACCCAGGUCUGGACGCGAUCUCGGCUCACUGCAAGCUCCGCCUCCCGGGUUCACGCCAUUCUCCUGCCUCAGCCUCCCAAGUAGCUGGGACUACAGAUGCCCACCACCACGCCUGGCUAAUUUUUUUGUAUUUUUAGUAGAGACAGGGUUUCACCAUUUAGCCAGGAUGCUCUCGAUCUCUUGACCUCGUGAUCCGCCCAUCUCCGCCUCCCAAAGUGCUGGGGUUACAGGCGUGAGCCACUGCACCCGGCCAAGAGCUUGCUUUCCUUAUCUUAAUUCAGGUUUACUGAAGUAUAAUUUAUAUAGAAGUAAAAACCACCCUUUGGCUGGGUGCGGAGGCUCACGCCUGUAAUCCCAGCACUUUGGGUGGCCGAGGCGGGUAGAUCACUUGAGGUCAGGAGUUCGAGACCAGCCUGGCCAACAUGGUGAAACCCCGCCUCUACUUAAAAUACAAAAAAUUAGCCGGGCGUGGUGGUAUGCACCUGUAAUCCCAGCUACUUGGGAGGCUGAGGCAGGAGAAUCGCUUGAAUCCGGGAGGCGGAGGUUGCAAUGAGCCGAGAUCACACCAUUGCACUCCAGCCUGGGGGACAAGAGCGAGACUUCAUCUAAAAAAAAAAAAAAAAAAAAAAACCACCCUUUUAGGUGUAUAGUUCUAUGAGUUUUGACAGAUUCACAGAGUCAUCCAGUAAUGUAAAUACCACAAUCAAGUUAGAGAAUAUUCUCAUCAUCUCAAAAAGUGUGAUCAGUCCACCCUUCCCCAGCUCCAGUUGCCAGUAACCAUUGAUCUAAUUUCUGUCCCUAUACUUUAAUUUUUUACUUUGAAAUAAUCAUUUACCCAUAGGUAGUUGCAAAGAGGGCCCAGGUACACUUUCUCAAAUGGGAACAUCUUACAAAGCUAUGGAAAAAUAUCAAAAGCCAGGAAACUGACAUUGGUACAAUACUAUCAAGUAGACUACAGACCUUAUUCAGAUUUCACCAGUGCUUACAUCCAUUAGCUUAUUUGAAAAAACAUAAUUGGGCCAUAGUAUGAAAGAAGGGUCAGCCUAGCAAAAACACGCAUUAGUUACAGUUGUCCACAGAAGAAAGGAGAACUCAGGAGGGUGCAGAGAGAGGAAGGGACUGGAGGAAAACAUUUCUGGAGUGGAACAAAAAUCAUUUGGUAGACAAUUUGGUAUAAGGAUUUAAAUUAAUCCUUCUUGAUCUUCUUUUCUUUUUUGAGACAGAGUGUCACACUGUCACUCAGACUAGGAUGUGGUGGUACAAUCACGGCUCACUGCAGACUCGACCUCCUGGGCUCAAGCAAUCCUCCCACCUCAGCCUCCUGAGUAUUUGGGACCAAAGGCGGAUGCCACCACGCCCAGCUAAUUUUUUUUUUUUUUUUGAGACGGAGUCUCACUCUGUCAUCCAGGCUGGAAUGCUCCCAGGUUCAAGCAGUUCUCUGCCUCAGCCUCCCAAGUAGCUGGGAUUACAGGCGCGUGCCACCACAUCAGGCUAAUUUUUGUAUUUUUAGUAGAGAUGGGGUUUCACCAUCUUGGCCAGGCUGAUCUUGAACUCCUGACCUCGUGAUCCACCUGCCUCGGCCUCCCAAAGUGCUGGGAUUACAGGUAUGAGCCACUGCUCCUGGCCGCUAAUUUUUAUAUUUUCCGUAGAGAUAGGGUUUCGCCCAGGCUGGAAAUUAAUCCUUUUUUUGGAAAUGAAAUUUCCCAUAUGGCAGGGCAGCAAGCAAAAGGUUGUUUUAAAUUGAACAGCCUGACCGCUAAGUGAAUGAAGGUCAUGAAAACCCCAAAUAACCAUAAUAUUUCUGCUUACUCUUAUUUAAAGAGGAAAAAAAAUGGUUUAGUUACUCUCUCCUUACUCUUGCCUGACUGAAAAAAAUGAAGUAACUGUCGAAAACAAAGUUAUCUGUUUAGUUAGCUAACCCUCUGCAAAACCAAGCAAAUGAAAUCUCUAUAUUUACUCUUAGUCCCUCCUGCAGUUCAGUACUGUUGUAGGCUUUCCUAUCUGCUCCACCAUUUUAUCAGACUACAGCACUGAUAAUGCCUUAAUCUCUAUACAAUUUAUUUAUAGACAUCACUUACCCAUCAGGAGACAAUGGGAUCAGCGUUGUUCUCCCCAUUUUUACAGCCCAAGAAAUUGAGGCUCCUGAUACCCAGGAUCACAUAUGCCAACACCGUAAAAUGCUCAGAAAGGCAUCGACACAGAGCUUUACUUAAUACCCUUCUUUCUACUCCACCACACCCCAUUUACGGCCAGGUUGGAUCUCUUUCUACAAGAGAAAUGGAAUAAAUUUGUGCAGGAGCUCCAUACAGGCAAUAAAAAUAUCUCUGGUGACAAAGUCCUCAUUUAAACUCCAGUUUGUUUAUCACUAGUUACUACCAAAUACAGUCCCUUGGGAGUUCUGAGUGACCCAAAACCUACUUCCUGGACUUCAAGAUGAGCUUUUAGUUUCUUUGAAAUCAGGAAGUGUCUUAAAACCAGAUUCAAUGAAAUACGGUAACAAUCUUUUUACUGUGUCCUGUGCUAGGUAUUUUAUAUGCAUUUUAGCACUUAACCUCCAAACCUCUUAUUAUUAAACCUCUGUUGUUACGUCCAUUUUAAAGAUAGAAAAGUCAGGGCACAGAGAGGUUUAGAGAUCACACAGCCAGCAAAUGGUGGACAGUAUAAGAGUAACCUCAAAGCAAGCAGUACCCCAGAUUCCAAUUUCAGUUGACUUAGCCUGGUAACAGUUCAAUUUUAUGCAAAACCCACAACUUCAAAUGGAAAAAGAUAAAUUAAAACAACCACAAAAACCAGACAAAUGGAGGCUCAGCAGGCCUUGUAGCUCAUCCACGGUUACACAGAGGAUCUCAGAGCCAAAAUUCCAUGGCCGAUCCGUCUUGACUUCAAAGCGCGAUCUAUUUCCACCAAACCACGGAACCAUCGACACGUGGUAAGGGGCAGUACAAAGAUUUGUUGAAUUAAUAAUGCCUGAAAACAAAUUGACAAUAAGAAGGUAAAAAUGGAAAACACAGAUAAAAUCGGAAAAGCAGACCACUUUCAGGAAACAAAAAACUCCAAAUUUUCAAGGCAGGGCAUUCACGGUGAGCCAAGGCGCUGGGACAAAGUUUGCGCGGGUACCGCCGGACUCCCGGGCUGCCCGGCGCGGAGUCUUUAACGGAGAUGGUUCGCAAGGAAUCGGCCUCGGAGCCCGGCAGCCUCCUGGCUUCCCUCCUGACCACCAGUAACCCGGCCGGGAAACACUGGCGAAGACCGGGGGCCAGUCGCCUUCCCUUUCUGGGCUGUUGGCUUAAAAUACACACAAACACAAGUCCCCAGGCGGUCCGCGGCCUCUCAGUGGGGCUGGAGCUCGCUGCCCGAGGCCCGCCCGGAAGCCAUGCACCUGCGGACAGGAGUCUCUCCGAGUCGCAGCUCGCCGCCGAGAAGCACCCACCUCCCGCGGCCGGCGCAGCCCAAGGCCCUGGCCCCUAUAGCCCGGCCUAGGCCCGCCCCAGGCGGGGCUAGGGGCGGCGUGGCGGGCGGGCGCCCCUCGGGCCGCGCCGGUGAGCAGCGGGAGCCGGCGCCGGGCAUUUCCUCUUCCUCCCUACGCGCGGC
RNAcentral lists this long non-coding RNA (9451 nucleotides) under Homo sapiens (human). Its description in RNAcentral is "HSALNT0303922". The record is from RNAcentral. Lineage: Eukaryota; Metazoa; Chordata; Mammalia; Primates; Hominidae.